GCGGAAGCCGCGCCGAGGCUCGUGUCAGUGGAAGCUGGGGUGUCGGCAGGCGGCAGCGGCGGGGUCUAGCGGUGGCUGCGGAAGGAGGAGGUGGAGGAGGGCUGGCGAUGAGAACCAGCAGGAGGAAUCAAGGACAAGAAGGGACCCAGAGGGGCAGGUGGCUGAGAUGCUGGCGUCCAGGUGACCCGAGGAAUCCUCUGGAGAUAGAGGCCCGCGCAUGCGCGUGCUCGAGCGCUGAAGCCCAUGGCCCGCAGGGCGCUGGACGGGCGCCCCGGCCGGCGAGGCUGUCCCGUCCAGGCUCCAGGCCCCGGCUCUGGCCAGGCGCCGCCGCUCCCCGGUGCAGCUGAAAGUCGACGAAGAGGGCGGGGCGAGGGCGGCUUGUGGACUUCCACACUUUUCCUCUCUUCGGGCCAGUCCGGGGAGAGGGUGGCUAGCUGUGGCGGCGGCCAAUUACGUGGCGGACCUGCGGGGCUCAGCUGGCACGUCACUUCCGACUAGUGGAGUUUUAGCCUUUUAACAUUCAAGGAUUAGAGCUCCCUCUUUGCCCACUAGCAGGGCAAUAGCUGGUGCUGAAAACAGUGGCUGCUUGGCAAGCCUGGAUCUCCAAGUGACUCCAAGUGACCCCCUCAGCAACUCCUGAUGAACAGGACUGAAACCAAUAAUAAGGCAAGUCGACCAAAGGUUCUGUGGUGUAGACAAGACAACAAAAGGACAGACUACCUGUGGAACCUAGCAUUGUUCUUCUGCAGCACUACGUAACAUUUGUACUCCGUAAGAUCUUUGCAAACCACACACAAGAAUUGCUGGUCAUCCUGCCAAUAGAUGCUGCUCACAGAACCAAAUUUCCUGUGCUGGAUUGUCACUCAUGGGCUUGAGAGUAGGAGACUGGAGACCAAGGUGGCUAGAAUCCAGUUGUGCCUGACGUCUCCCUGUUGAAAGAGCUCCUUGUGGAAUGGACAGCACAUGGCUCCCGUAGUGGAUCUGAUAGUGGUACAGCACCAAGUGAUGCAGGCCUGCCUGGGCCACGGCCACAGAAGAUGCUCCCAGGCUCCCCCGUGUACUCCAGACACACUGCAGGCCACCCCUCCCAGCAGGUUCCUAGUCAUGGGCCCCAUCAUCAUGACUUCUGUCCAGAGUGUGCUCAGAAAUCUCUUCCUUAACACCUGUGACGUUCUGACAGGUAGAGGAUGUGGUCAGGAAUGGGAAAAGGAUUCAAGACGGGAAGAGGGAGGGGUUCAGGAUGAAGAGAGAUAAUCUGUGCCAUAGGUGCUGGCCCUGCAGUUACCUCCCACCUAGUCCAUGCACACACAUUCUAAUCCCCUCCCAUUCCUCUACAUGCUGCGGCCAGAGAGGCCUUUCUCAAAGUGGAAGUCUCAUCCUCACUUCUCUGGUUACAGUGCUGGGCCGUGAAUGACUUAAAAGGCUAAGCAGGAACUGUCUGCACACUCCCCGCUCCUGCCUGCUACCUUGUUUCCCUCCAGUCGCGAGAGCAAACAUUGAUUGAGCAUUAACAAUGUGCCAGGCUUGUCCUAAGUCCUUCAUAUGUAUUCACUCAAACAAUCCUCACAACAUUCCUGUCACAUCUCCUGUUUCACAGUGAGGGUUCUAAAGCAUGCAGUGGGUGAGAAACUUGUCCAGGGUCACACAACUAAGUGGGGGUGGAGAAACAUCAAAUCUAGGUGGUCCAGGUGGUGGCCAGAACCCAUCAGCACCUCACUACAGCUGCCUCCAGCUUCUCCCUCUGGGAAAUACUCUUCCCUGUUAACUCCUGUUGUUCUCUGGGCUCAGUUGACAUGUCAUCUCCUCAAGGAGGACAUCCUGAGAUGCUUCCCGACUAGGGUGGGCACCAACUUCCACACUCCAAAUGCAUGUCUAUUUGACGUGUGUAUUGCUGCAUCCCCACUGCAUGGCAGAUAGCAGGCCCCUAAUAAGUAUGAUUUGAGCAAAUAAAUAUAGUUAUUCAAAAAAUAGGGAGGACUUCUUGCUUCUAGUAAUGGUGGGCUAGGACAUUUGGACCAACCCUCCUGCAGAAAAUAGCCAUUUAUUUUGAUGCAAUAUACCUGGCUACGACUAUAGAGAUUUCAAAUAUUUGGAGGGCUAUUAUGUGAAGAUUUAUACUUACUCUUGGUGACAUAGAGGUUAGAAAUCGGUCGUUUCCAUAGAGUAUGAGAGACACAGAAUUGUGCUCAUCAUAAGGAUCUUUUUUAAAAAUUAGACUUAAUAAAAUGGGCUGCUUUGGUAGGUGGUGAGUUGUCUGUCACGAAAGAGAUUCAGCCACUUGCUCUGAGAAAGCUGGAGAAUAUCGACAUUGCAAGGGUCGACCACCUCAUCUCUUGAGGCCCCCGCCUCGCUUAGGUUGCCAUUGUACGUGGAACACUGGGCUGAGUGUCAGAGAACUUGGGUUCCACAAGCUAUGCGAUCAUGGCUGGUUAUUUUUGGAUCUAUUCCUAAUAUCUGUUAGUUAAGCUGACCCAUCAGUACUGACCCACUUCACAGAGUUACGAAGGGAUUAAAUUUGGUAUUACAUAUAAAUUUUUAUUUUGUUUGCUUUUUGUUGUUUUUUGUUUUGCUUUUUUCUUUGGAUUAUGAAAUCCCAAGUCAACUUUUUCCAUUCUUUUAUUUCUUAAAAAAUUGACGUCAUCAUAACAAAAUAAUUAAAAAAAAAAAAAAAAACCCUGCAACCCCACUAUCUAAUACAAUAAUCAUACUUUUUUCUCUCUAUUCUCUUUUAUUGUGACCAAGGAUGACUUCGGGCAUUGAUGUGAGGAACUAUUUCGUUUAACACCCUGCUAUCUGAACAUGAUUCACACUCAGCCUUUCACCACCCCCCAAGUAGCUACACAUGACAUGAUAAUAGUAUUGGUGGUGGUUUUAGAGAGUUGGAGAGAAAACUGAAGUUGGAUUUGGGUAAAAGAAAAAAGAGUGGGCAUUAUGUUUUCUCCAUUCUAAAGCCCAUGGAGCAAUGUUAAUUGUUCCCACCCCUCUGCUAUUCUGUCUCUUCAGGUACUGUGUGCAGAAAUGUGAUUGAGAUUCAAGUCAGGGCCUCUGCCCUUUUCCCUCCAGAAACAAAACCAAGAUAAUUUAUCCUGAACACACAUGGUGAAAAAAGGAAGGAAGGGAGCGGGGAGAAAAAGUCCAGGUCUUACCUGGGAUUCUCUGUCUCCUGCAACAUGAAGGGUUUAGCCUGGGAGGAGGUGGUGAGAACUCUGGGAGAGAAAAAAGAAGGAAAGAAUAGUUUUACCCAUGCUGAAGUUAAAACUUUACCUAGAGAAGCAAAACAAACAAACAAAAAAACACUGUUCCAUUUUGUGCCUCCCUUCCUAGAGUUUUGGCCAAAGGUUUAACUAAGUAAUUGGUUUUACCAGGGCACUCACUCCUCUUAUCCCGAGUCUGUUUGCCUCCCUCCCCAUCAUCCUUCUCACCUCUUUCAGGCAGGGUGGGGAUAGCAGCAGGAGGAGAUUCUGGGAGCUUGGCAACUCCUGUAAGGACCGCAGGACAGCCCCUCUGUGGGGAUGCAUGGUGCUCCAUCUGCCGUCCUUCUGAGAAGAAGAAUGCACUGCUUUCACUUUACUGUGUUAGAGUCCAUCCAGACGGUUCUAUCCAAAGAAUAGUUUCUUUUUUCCCCUACAGGCAAUCAGGAAAUGAUUCCUUUCCCGACUACUUUUGUCUAGUGCCUGGGAAUCUUGAGUCAAUCCCUCAGUAAGUCAGUGACUAAGGAAAUCUCCCCUCUCUGAGCCUCCCAGUUCAUGUUGCUUAGGGAACCUGAUAUUUUCAUGAAAUCUGCCUACACAUGGGCAGCCCAACAGCAGAGCUAAUGGUGGUGACCAAAGUGAACAAAGAAGUACAGUUGUGCCAGUUUCCUAGUUGCCCAUGUGGACAAGUCAGCAGGAUCAGGACACGAGGAAGAGUAAAUGUGAGACAGUCAUGUGACUUCUGCGAUAAUAUUCUAGAUUUUUAAACCCUGAAAUUUUGCUAAAAUUUUGGUGAAACCCUGAACUUUCUUCAUUGCAUAUACUGGCCCUAUCUGUACCGUCAUACAGCUAUCUCACAUUAAAGCUAUUUUUCUUGAGCACUGAUGAGUAAGGUUGGUAUGUUUGAGUUCCUCAGAUCAACAAAAACCCAUUUUCCUGUAAGUCUUAUGUUUAGUAUUUAAGGAACUAAAACUUAAAUACAUUGUGUGAAAUGGUUGACACUUCACUGAUAAUGAUUUAUUGCUUGGAUUAAUAAAUUUUCCAAAAGUUGUCUUAUUAUGUAGAAUAUGGUUUGCAACCAGCAGAACCAUUAAUCUAUACUGUGAUAAAAUGCACUAUGUAUAAUUGUUUAAAAGCUUCUACUUAAUGAUGUAACAUGCGUAUUUAAUUACACAUUUGGCUAAACUGUAUACUAACAUCUGAUGGCGUUUUUCCAGUGUGUUGCUUUUUUCAAAUACUUUAUUGUACAAAGCUAUUCUUAAUAUUUUUCAAGUUUUUCUCUUUGAAUUUUGCUAAUGUUUUCCUUGAAUUAUGAGCACUGACAGAAUGUGCUUAGCACUUUUGGCUAUUCACACAGCUUUUGAGCAUGAUUUGCAUCCAGUAUUGACAUUGCUAGCAAUAAUAAGCCAUCUGUGAGUUUUGUCAAAAGUUAUUGGGGAUUUUUUAAAUUUUAGAAAUGCAAAUUAAUUGUUUCCUUGAACUAACUUAUGCAGUUGCAAAGGCAUUUCCAGUUGUUAUGCUUUUUGUACAAUAUCAGGUGUUCCAGAUUAUGAUUCAUUAUUAAUGUCAUUGCUUCCUUGUUCCCUCUGAGAUCCAGAAGAUUCAUGUUUACAAUAUUCAGAAACAAAAAGGUAUCCAAAGCUUGUCACUUUAUUACUACUGUUCCUAAUAUUCUGUUUAAGUUUUUGAAUUCAUAGAUAUCAAAACACUGCACAAUUAUGAUUUUCACAGGAAUAACAACACACCAACAAUAAGAACAAAAGAAAAGCAAAUAGGCUAUCUAAAUUUUUGACAAUAUUAGGAUAAUGAUAAAUUGACAGUUUUUCUAAAUCUCACAGUAAAGAAUGUGCAGCAACCCAGCAACACUGCUACCUGUGACCUCAGGCUGCAGCGUCAGCUCUUCCCUGGAUCUCCAGCCUGCCAGUCUAACCUGAAAAUUAUGUACUUGCCAGCCCCUACAGUCAUGUGAGUGAACUGGCCCAGACUGGUCACCAGGUCAGUUUCUGUGUGUCAUUAAUUCACUCAAUGUUCAGCAGUCUCUUUGGAGCUGAGAUGUACCUAUCAUCUGCCUUUUGGGUGCUCAGGGUGGAGAACCAGAAAAGUAUAAUCUAGUGUGUAUCCUCAAAGAGCUAACAAUAUGGGGUGGUACCCAUAGGUCUGGGAACACUUUACUGACUCUGUGAGGCAUACCAAGAGACGUCAGAGACCAGUCCCUCCUCAAAUGCCAAAUGAAAUGCAGAGAAAUAGUUUGCUGAAGUUCAUAGGCCAGAUAUCCCAGUGGUCAGGGAGUUUCAUGAAUGAGAUGGAACUUUGCAUGGAACCUGAGGGAUGUGUACCAUUUGAGUGGAUGAAGAAAAUGAAAGACAUUCCAAGCAGCUAGAAGUUAGGAAGCAGCAGGGUGUGUGGUGGGAUUGAGCACAGUGGAUUCAGAGGAUAGACUGCAGUUCAAUAAUUUUUAGUAAAUAUCUCCCAACUGUUUGGCACUAUUGGAACAAGUUCUUGAAUGCCAAAUGAAGGUAUAAAUCAGUGAGAGGCAUAAUAAAAGCUGAGCAGUGCUUGGCUUUUUAUGAGCUGAUCCUGACAGGAACAGCUAUUCAACAAAAUUGCCAGGCCAUUGUUACAUAGUCCCUGCCUUCUAGGGGCUCACUGCCUACUAGGAGAGAGAGUCUGAAAGUUGGUGCAGCGUGUAACUGUUGGAUCAGGAGUUUUGAGCCUGUGAACUGUGGGACCCCAGAGGAGGGUGUGACUACUCUAGGCAGAACAAUUCCACAGUUUAUAUUUAACCUUGAAAUUCAUUAGAGGAUUUUUCAGCAGAGGGUUGGUACUUAAGGUUUGCAUUCUAUAGAACCUCAAGGAAAGCUGUACUGUGCAUAAUGUACCCUCUUGUUAAUGUUGUGUACUGUGAUCCUGUUUCAGGGAUUUGCACUUAGAAUCUGUUACACUGAGCAAAGAAGCAGACCUGUGGGCUCAGUCUUCACCCCCCGACCCAUAUAUACAAGAUGAACAGAGCUGUGGAGGUUAGACAACUUGCCCGAACAACACAGUUCAUGAGCCUCCCGGUGCACAGAUGAACUCUAGGGUUCUGGGCCCUGUGGAAAUCACACUGACCUGGUAACAUAAUGAAGAGGGACCAUAGAGCUUGUGGACACCAGGCCUGCAGGAGAUGGAACCUUCUAGAAGGGAGUGGCUGUGGUGGUGCCUUCUGGAGAAUAGCAAAGAUAAACAUGCCAUGUACAGCACGAGGGGCUCCUCACCCUGAGAUGGGGUAAGGAGAUGGAUGUAGGCAGAGAGCCACUUCUCAAGGAAAGGAGAGAAGGGGCCCUUCUGGAGAUUUUCAGCAGAGUUAGAGCUGAGGCUGGGGGGUCAGCACCCCUCACCCUAUCCUUCCUUUCUGAGAGCCAACUUCUGAGCCCACCAUCCCUAUCAGGGGAAUAUUUCCCAGCCACAAGUAACCACUGACCUGUAGUCACUGGCGUUGUGGUUGCUGGAGCUGUGAUCACUGGGGCUGUGGUUACAGGAGUUGUGUUCUGGAGGAACAAGAGUUCAGAUGCAGAAUGUUACUCUGGGUUUUCUUAUUCUCACCUACGGGUGCCUCACCCGAAGGGGUUAAACUUCUGCCCCUUUUCCUUCUGGAGCCCCUGUGGAGACUCCUCCUGUGCAGCAAAGCCUGGAAGGGGCCCCUGGCUAUGGAGGGGAGGUUGAGCAGCCACAGGUUUGGUCGGAAGAAGGAGACCUGGACUCCCAGAUCCUCAAUACCCAGGGAAAGUCAGUUCCUGUGGCUGCCCCUGACACUAGGACCUGGAUCUGAGUUAGCAUUUUUUCUGCUCCUCCAUGAACUUUCAGGCACAGGGCUACAUGAGGCUCAGGAACUCCCAGAGUCCUGGGGAAAUGGGUCUGUUUCUCAUGGGACACAAAUUCUCAGGUCCUUCUCUUUCAGAUUCCUAAGUUGCUUAUAAGAGAUUAAGUGGGAAUAAGCCAGUGCUUGAAAUGGCAAAUCUGAAGGGAGUGUGUAAUGUGCAUGUGUCUCUGUGUGUACAUGUAGAUGUAUAAGGUAUACGUAUCUGUAUGUAUGUAGAUUUGUAUCUAUGUGUGUGUUUAUAAGCAUGUAUGGGUUUUUGUAUGUGUAUGUGUCUGCACAUUGAUGUAUAGAAGCAUAGCAUGUGUGGGUGUGUUUGUGUGUAUUGCUCUGUGACUUCCUCAUACUGGCACCACCCUGGCCUUUUCUUGGUUGCCCCCACCCUGUGGGUUGUAAGGGGCAGAACAGCGCUCCACCUGCAGGCAUGGAAGAGGGGUCAGGAUAAGUGUUGGGGAGAGCUGGUCCUCUUCACACUUGGAAUAAGGAAACAGGAGCUAAAUGGAUGGGUCCCUCCCUUUUACAGAAUUCUGCAUUAAUAAAAGUGUCAGUCACUUUCCUAAGGGAUUUACAGGAAUUAAAUCAUUUAAACUUCAUAAGAGCCCCAUGACACAGGGACAACUGUCAACCCCAUUUUUCAGACAAGGAAACUGAGGUCAGUAGGAGAUUCGUUGACUCUCAGUGGGCUGAUUCAUGAUUCUAAGGAAACAGUCUGACUGCUGAGCCCAAGUAACCACGCUGUCCUGCUGACCCCCAUAUUUGUCCACUGGCCACCUAUGAGUCACCUCCAGUGGGCUCUGACCAGCUUCCCUUUCUUCUCCAGGCACAGAGACUGAACUGGAGUCUACUGCAUUUGCCACAGUCCUCAUGAGGGCAACUACAGGGAGCUGAGGGGCUUGAAGUUGAUAGUGGCAGGAGGCAAAUCCCUAGGCAGAUAAGGGCAGGUGCCCAGUGAAAUCGCACCUUCAAGCCAAAAACAGCCUGAAGCCUGAACACUGGGCUGCUUGUUCUGGAUGAAACCCACAACUCAAAGUGAGAAUUUCUGUUCCUGUUUGCCCACUCUUUCCCAAUUGGUUCUUUCUGAAUAAUGCUUUUAAGCCAAUUGAAUGAUGCCCUAUGCAGUGCUACCUGU
Long non-coding RNA from Cercocebus atys (sooty mangabey), 8176 nucleotides. RefSeq lists it as uncharacterized. NCBI's taxonomy places the organism in Eukaryota, Metazoa, Chordata, Mammalia, Primates, Cercopithecidae. The record is from RefSeq and is a predicted model, not a curated record. The transcript has 4 exons.